This 468-nucleotide ribosomal RNA is filed under the name uncultured bacterium. Its description in RNAcentral is "partial 16S ribosomal RNA". It matches the Rfam family "Bacterial small subunit ribosomal RNA", at positions 28 to 507 of the family's 1533-position model. The record is from RNAcentral.
GACGAACGCUGGCGGCGUGCUUAACACAUGCAAGUCGAACGGAAAGGCCCUGCUUUUGUGGGGUGCUCGAGUGGCGAACGGGUGAGUAACACGUGAGUAACCUGCCCUUGACUUUGGGAUAACUUCAGGAAACUGGGGCUAAUACCGGAUAGGAGCUCCUGCUGCAUGGUGGGGGUUGGAAAGUUUCGGCGGUUGGGGAUGGACUCGCGGCUUAUCAGCUUGUUGGUGGGGUAGUGGCUUACCAAGGCUUUGACGGGUAGCCGGCCUGGGAGGGUUACCGGCCACAUUGGGACUGAGAUACGGCGCAGACUCCUACGGGAGGCAGAAGUGGGGAAUAUUGCACAAUGGGCGGAAGCCUGAUGCAGCAACGCCGCGUGCGGGAUGACGGCCUUCGGGUUGUAAACCGCUUUCGCCUGUGACGAAGCGUGAGUGACGGUAAUGGGUAAAGAAGCACCGGCUAACUACGUG